This is a long non-coding RNA of Aptenodytes forsteri (emperor penguin), 635 nucleotides long. RefSeq lists it as uncharacterized. NCBI's taxonomy places the organism in Eukaryota, Metazoa, Chordata, Aves, Sphenisciformes, Spheniscidae. The record is from RefSeq and is a predicted model, not a curated record. The transcript is spliced from 3 exons.
CUUCCCUUCCCCACAUGAGCCCAGUCAGAGGGUGCAGCAGUGUGAAAGCCCUGACCUCCCUGGAAAACCUUCCUUUCAGGGAGCCAGCAGGACACCUCGCCCGGCAAAGACCUCCCAACCUGCUGGCAUAGGUGGGACAGAGAAGGGAUGAUCCUUCGCACUUUAUCUCAUCACCAGCUGGCUGCAUGGCUUUCUGAAUCGCCCUUGUCCUCAGGUUACUUCAUCUGCUAGUUGAGAAAUUGCAAGCUUUUGGGGGAGAAAAACUGUGUAACUAACUCCGGUGUUUUGUCCAUCUGUCAGCAACUGCAAAACCAUUCUCUGUGGCAUAUCAUAAGCAUUCCUACUUCAACCACUGUUUCAAAGUACCUACACAAGCCUUAGGGAAGGCUGUUGCCUGGCUCACAUCCAGGAAAGGUUGCACGGAUCAGGCCGAAUGCAGACAGAGGGCUACAGCCUGGCACACGGAGGUCUGAACGGCACACCUAAGUUUCUACAGUAAAGCCAGGAGCAACCCCACACUCCUUCUCCAUUUCUACACACAAAUAAAGGGCCUUUUAUUUGCUUGACAGUGCUCUUUAUUUUUUUAAUGUGUGGCCUUUUACUGUUCCUUGACUGAGAGUACAGAUACAGGCAUU